UAUUGCACAAUGGGCGCAAGCCUGAUGCAGCCAUGCCGCGUGUGUGAAGAAGGCCUUCGGGUUGUAAAGCACUUUCAGCAAGGAGGAAGGGGUAGUCUUUAAUAGAGGUUAUCUGUGACGUUACUUACAGAAGAAGCACCGGCUAACUCCGUGCCAGCAGCCGCGGUAAUACGGAGGGUGCGAGCGUUAAUCGGAAUUACUGGGCGUAAAGCGUACGCAGGCGGUUUGUUAAGCGAGAUGUGAAAGCCCCGGGCUCAACCUGGGAACUGCAUUUCGAACUGGCAAACUAGAGUGUGAUAGAGGGUGGUAGAAUUUCAGGUGUAGCGGUGAAAUGCGUAGAGAUCUGAAGGAAUACCGAUGGCGAAGGCAGCCACCUGGGUCAACACUGACGCUCAUUACGAAA
RNAcentral lists this ribosomal RNA (403 nucleotides) under uncultured bacterium. Its description in RNAcentral is "bacterial SSU rRNA". It matches the Rfam family "Bacterial small subunit ribosomal RNA", at positions 362 to 758 of the family's 1533-position model. The record is from RNAcentral.